AGGAGGAGCCAUGAUCGAUUACAGGAUAAAGAGGAGUUUGACAGAAUCAAAUAGAUUAACAGAGCCAUGACUAGUUACAGAAUGAAGAGGAGUUUGAUGGGAUAUUUGAGGGUAAUUUAGUCUUUCUCAUAUAGAUUAACGGUGCAAUAGGUAUAAAAUAGACGAAAGUCCUUUUAUAUUCACAGAAUUAAACUAUGGGGACAUUUUAAUGUAAUGCAAUACAAAGAUAUUUUAAUUAAUAAGGUCAAGCUAUAGGGUCACAGUAGUAAUUACCCCUUUUUCAUUAACUGUAUACUAUUUUCUGUUCUUAAUGCUGAUAUUCUUUAUAAUGUCUUGUUUCACUCUAAAUCUUUGUUUUCUUUUGAAACUUAUAUCUUUUGUAGUACUUGUUUUGUGCUAGAUGUUUGUGCACAGGCUGCAAAAUUGGAUUCAAAGUCUCUUUUCUAUGUCUUUCUUGGAUAUUCUCUUCUUCAAAAAGUGUUUAGGUGUUUCUCUCCAGCAUUUAAUCAUUGUCUUGUUUCUACAGAUUUCACAUUUUUUGAAUCUACUCCAUUUGAUCUUCUUUCAUUUAUUUAUGAGUCAUGGGGAUGAACAUGAUCUUUUGGUUUACAUUGUUCAACAAAGUAUCCAGUCCUCAGCAUCCUCUCGUGCCAACACCUCUUCUUCGUCCUAUUGUUUAUCUCUAUUCCAAGAAGAUUUUCCACCAGUUUCUUUGUUGGAAGGUCUAGUCCAAUCCCAUCCACCCCUCCUUAGUUUGAUCUAGAUCUUCCCAUUGGUCUUUGCAAAGGGAAGCGAUGAUGUACUUAUCCUAUCUCUUCUUUUAUCUCUUAUGAUCAAUUGUCUCCAAAAUCCCAUUGUUUUUUUCUAGUUCACCUUAUUUCCAUUCUUAAACUAUUAGCAAGGCUAUACAUGUUGAUUGGAGUCUUACUAUGCAUCUCACCCUUUUUGGCAUUAUGCAAUGAAAGAGGAAAUAGUGGCUUAAAUGUCAAAGGUACUUGGAAAUUGAUCUCUCUAUCUUCAGAUAAAAAGGUUAUUGAUAAGGGUACCCUCAAGUUGAUGAGCUUGACUAUUCUGGUAGCUUCUCUUCUAUUGUUUAUUUAUUGCUAGGCAGCUACUUUUAAUUGGUCCUUACACUAGGUAGAUAUAAAAAAUACUUUCCUCCAUAGUAAUCUUUAAGAGGAGGUUUACAUUUAGGUUUAAAUUUACACCUGGUUUUGUUGCUUAUGGGGAGUAGGAUAAAGUUUGCUAACUUCAGAAAACUUUGUAUAGCUUGAAACAAAACUGUGGGACUUAGUUUAAAAGAUUCAAUGAGGUAGUACAACAAUUUAAUAUGCAUAAGAGUUAAUUUAAUCAUUUGGUAUUUUACAAAAGUUCUAAGUCUAGCCUAAUCUUACUUGUAGUCUAUGUUGACGAUAUUGUCAUUAUUGGAAGUGACUCUAUGACAAAGUGUAGCUAAGUACUACUCACACGCUUGUGAGGAAGAAUAAGUCUGAGAGAAAUUUUAUAUUGUACUAUUUUAUUGAAGUGAAAAUAAAUUGCCCUAGCAUAAGAUAAUGAGGUAUUUAUAGAGUUUAAUUCCCAUAAUUAGGAUAGAAAUAGAAUUCUAUAAUUUAGGAAGACAAUUUCUAACAAAAUAGGAAGAUACUAAUUCUAACUAAUGUAAAAUUUACAAAAUAGCUUCCUAAAUAAAACAAAAGACUCUUAAAACUAAUCUAUACAUUGUAGAAAAGCUAAAAUGGGAAGUUUAAAUAACAUAAUAAUAAAAAGGAAGAAAUCUCGAUCAAAAUAGGCGAACAGCUAGUGCCUCUCAGAGUCAGGCGCACCCUGGGGUGUGCUGCUGAUCUUCUGCAGCCCUAUUCUUUGAGCACUUCGGUUCCCCUUUCCUUCCUUGUUGCUGGUGCCAAUUCUCCAUGAAUAGGACACUUAGUUCCUUCACAUCAAUCUCCUCUGUUUGGGAAAAACUCGACCUUGAGUUGAAGUUUUCAAUAGGAUAUAAGGGCUUACCCAUGGAAUGGAAAGAAUAUAAAUCAAUAAUAUUGUAAGUCCUUGACAUUUUCAAAUUUUCUGGCAAAUCAACAACAUAGUCAUUAUUAUUGAUCUUGUGAACAAUUGCACAAGGACCGUACUUAUUUAGUUUUAGCUUGUUAUAGGUGCCUUAUAGGAAAUUUCUCAUGCCUUGGGAACAUUAUUACCUUGUCCCCAAUUUCAAAUACUUGUUUCCUUUUAUGCUUAUUAAUAACAUCCUUAUACUUAUUGUUAGUCUCUUCAAGUUUCGAUUUUACCUCUUGAUGUACUUUAACAAUUUGUUUAGCCAUGUAUUUAGCUAUCACAUUCUUUCCUUCCACUUUUAGUGAGUUCGUCAAAUUAAGUGUAUGUUGAGACACUUUAGUAUAGACUGUUGAAAAUGGUGAUCUUUCAAUAGCAGUAUGGAUGGUACAAUUGUCAGCAAAUUAAGCUUGUGGUAAAGCAACAUCCUCCUGCAUUAGUUUAUCCGUAUCCCUACAAAUGCUUCAAAUCAAGUUUCUCAAGGUGCAAUUGACCACUUUGGUUUGACUGUUACUUUGAUGUGUAAUGCUACUGAAAUUCAAAGAAGAGUCAAAUAAUUUUCAUAAGGUUCUUUAAAGGUGAUCCAAGAACUUACUAUUUCGGUCUAAAGUGAUGGAUUUUGGUAUGCCAUGCAAACACUAUUUCCUUGAACAAUUUGGUAAUAUGAAUCGUAUUGAAAGUUAUCUUAUAAGGAAUAAAGUGUGCCAUUUUUGAAAACCUAUCAACAACAACAGACACAAAAUUCACUCCUCUUUGUAUUCUUGGUAAGCUCAACACGAAAUCCAUAAAAAAAUCUUCUUAAAUAUUUUUAGGAACAGGUAAAGGCAUGUACAAAUCAGUAUUAUAGGAUUGUCUUUGGAUUUUUAGCAAGUGUAACACUUCAUGAUAAAUUUUGUUAUAUUUUGCAUAAUUGAGACCAAUGAUACCUCCCUUCCAUCUUUCCAAGUGCCUAGCUAGUCCUCCUCCAUAUAAGUCACGAAUCACCUUCCCUUAAAGAGGUUUGAGGAAUGCAAAGCUGGUUCUUAUGCAUCAAAUAUCCAUCAAACACAUAAAAAUUAUCAAUAGGAUGGACAUAAGAACACUUGUCUCAUAUUUCUCCAAAAUCUCAGUUGGAAUGCUCUUAUCUCUUCCCAAGUGUCUAGCUAGUCCUCCUCCAUGUAAGUCACAAGUCGCCUUUUCCCUUAAGAAGGUUUGAGAAAUGCAAAGCUAGUUCUCAUGUAUCAAAUAUCCAUCAAACACAUAGAAAUUAUCAAUAGGAUGGACACGAGAACACUUAUUCCAUAUUUCUCCAAAAUCUCAUCGUCGGAAUAGAGUUCUUUUUAGUUGUUUGAACCCCACAAUCUCAUUGCUCAAUGUCAUUGUCUCCUGUUUACUCUAAGCAUCUAUCAUUCGAUUUUGAACUCCAGAUUUGUGCUUAAGUCGAUAAGAAAAUUUUUGCAAAAAUUGACACCACCUUGUGCGUAUGUCUUUUCUAAUCUUCUUUUGGCCAUUGAUGUAUUUUAGAACUUUAUGGUCAAGAUACUGGACAAACUUUUUUCCUAUUAAAUAAAGCUCCCAAGUUUUAAAAGCACGAACCAUAAAGUAGAAUUCUUUAUCAUAGGUGCUAUACUUUCUCCUAGCACCACUUAGUUUCUCACUAAAAUAUACUAUCGGUCUUUUUUUGGGAUAAAACAACACUUAUCCUAACUCUACUUACCUCAUAAUUUACUUCAAAUAGCUUAUCAAAGCAAGGUAAAGUUAACACUAGUGCUCUGCAGUGCAACUUUUUUUUUUAAUUAAUUUUUUUUUGAAGGACGUUAAAGCUAUAUGAGACUUUUUCACUCCAUUGGAACUUCCUUUUGUUCAAGCACUCGAUUAUCAAUGCUGCAAAUGGUGCUAAAAUCUUUGAUAAAGAACGCCAGUAGAAGAGCGCCAGUAGAAAGUGGCGGACCCAUGGAAAUUUCGUAUAGUCAACAUAUCAGUUGGGAUUGGCUACUCCUUUAUUUAUUUUUAUUUUUUGCUUCAGCAACAUGAAUCUUUCACUUACAACAUAUCCCUACAAUGGUAGUUUGUUAAUUAGGAAACUACUUUUCUUGAAGUUGAUGUGUAAUUUGUUGUCCUGCAAGACAUCAAGACCUUUUCCAAGUACAUUAAAUGUUCAUCUUCCGAGUUGCUAUACAUGAAGAUAUCAUCAAAAUAUACAAUUACAAACUACUCGAUAAAGAGUUUUAAUACCUGAUUAAUCAACCUUAUGAAAAGUACUAGCCUACUAGGUGCAUUGGACAAUCUAAAUGACACAACAGGCCAUACAUGAAUCCUUUCUUUUGUUUUAAAUGUAGUUUUCCACUCAUUUGCUAGCUUAUUCAAAUUUGAUGGUAGCCAUUUUUCAAAUCUAGCUUAGUAAACUAUUUAGCACUAUGUAGUUGCUCCAUCGUAUUUUCCAAUAUAAGAACUGAAAAUUUAUAGCCCAUUGUGAUCUUGUUGAUGGCGCGACUAUCUACAUAUUUUCCGACUUCCAUCCUUCUUAGGUGCUAGUAAUGCAUGAUAACACCUGGACUAAUGCUCUCUUUGAUUACUCCCUCCUGCAAGAGCUCCUCACUUUCUCUUUAAGUAGCUCACUCUCCUUUGUAUUCAUGUGAUGGUGUAGCAAGUUUGGGAAACUUGCACCUGGGUUAAGGAAAAUUUGAUGUUAAAUAUUUUGUGUGGAAGGUAGUCCAUCCAUUAUUGUCUUCCAUUAUCAACUAUUCUCUUCAAAUUCUUUUAACAAUGGUCGAGGAUCAUCCACUUGUGGCUUUGACUCUUCCAAUAGUACUUGUUUUACCACUGAAAACAUCGGUUAGGAUAGGGGUAAUAUGCCCCUUAUAAGGGUUUUAGGCACCUCUCCUCUUGAGGUAGCCUUUGGGUGAGUUCGGUCUAACUCAAAUUUAACAUGGUAUUAGAGCCUUCUCCUUUUGAGCUAGCAUUUGGGUGAGUUGGGCCUAACUCAAAUUUAACAUAGUAUUAGAGCCUUCCCACCGAUGUUGGCCCUUCCUUUAAUAUUUCAUGCUUCAGUGAAGUUCUAAGCAGCGUGAUGGAGCGUGUUAAAUCCCACGUUAAUUUGGAAUAAGAGGAAAUGUGCCUCUUAUUAGGGGUUUAGGCACUCCUCCCCUUUGAUCUAGCUUUUGGGGUGAGUCAGGCUUAAUCUAAAUUUAACAAUAUGUGUUUUAUUUCUUUCCAAUAGUAAAAAUAAGAUAUUGUUGUUUUAUUAGUUUUUCUUUCCAAUUUUCUGUAAAAAUAGAUCAUGCAUUUGUUUUACUAGAGAUUUAAGUCUUAUUGUUUAACUCCAUCUGCUACAUACAAUUUUAAUUAUUUAUGGGUUUCUAUGAUUUGAAAGCCCUAGUAUUUCAAUUGCUUGCCACAUAAUGCAAUUAUUAUUUGUCAACCCCCUUAUCUAUGCGAGGUACUUUUGUAUUCAUCAUAAAGCUAAAUUUGGUUUGUGAUAUUAGUCGCUUCAUGUUCCUUUCUUAUAUGCAUAAGUUUCAUAUAUAGUUCAGAUGUGUUGUUAUAGAUUACUGUCGUCACUUCUACUUAUUAUUUCAGGUGGUUGAAAAUUAUAAAGACUUUGCAUUCUCCGAUUAUGCAAGAGUGGGAAGAGCGCUGGCACUUUAUGAGAUUGGAGACAAAGAUGAAGCGAUUGCUGAGAUGGAGGAUGUUUCCAUAUCUUUGAAGGGAUAUCCAGGUAUCUGUUAAGAUUUUGCAUUUCAAGGCUAUGCUGACAACAUGACAUGUUAGCUUUAAUAUGUUGUCUUAUAGAAGCUAUUGUUUUUGAAUUUUUCGUAUGAUGUUUUCCUAUUUAACUAUAAAUUUCUUGAUGCGGUCGACAGAAGUACAUGCAGCUCUUGCAGCAGCAUUAUACGUGGACAAGCAUGCCCCUCUGCUAGCAGAAAAUCAGUUCACAAUUGCAACUCUGCUUGAUCCUCACUAUACAGACCUUUCAUAUGUAAAAGAAACUAAACAUUGGCCUCCAAGUUUGGUCAGUUCUUUGCAACGUUUCAUCACUCUGUCCUAGAAAUAUGAAUUAUACAUACAAGACUUAAGUUGAAUGCAUGAAUAUCAUACUUAUCAGUUACAAAACAAUCUUUUAUUACCAUUUUGUAUCUGUAUUCUUUCCUUCAUUUUGUUUCUUGGAGAAAGGAGGGGUGGGGGUGGCUGUGAGACAAAUUAGUUGGUAUGUGUAUAGCACAUUAGCUUAUAAACGUGAUGUUCAAAUUUGGAAUACCAAUUCUAUAGUUGAUGGGCAUUAUUCUGCUAAUGCCUAAAGCCUAAUAUUAGAUAAAGUCUCAUCUGAACCUCACUUCUUGCUUUGAAUUGGUGUUGUUUUUCUAUUUGAUAAUUCUCUUAAUACCUAUCAAGUACUUACUGGGGACUGGUGAGCUAAAAUCGCAAAAGGGAAUCUUCUGGGCCUUUCAUUCAUAGGCUUGCUAAAGUCUUGUUGUAACACCCUAAUUUAUUUGGAAAUAAUAUUUACGAUUAUUAUUAGAGAUAAAAUUCGAUAAUAAUUUGAGAAUGAAUUUUAAAUUAAAUCCGGAUAAAAAUAAAAGUUUCAAAAAUUUGAAUAACUAAAAUGAUUUUUCUUAGUUAAAAUGUUGGGAUUAAAAGUGUAAAUUUCCUUAAAAGGACACUCUUCGUGUUCAAGUCACGGGCUUUUGUUUUGUCCAUACAAUUUUAAAAAAUAAAUUGUAGUGUGCAGGUCAAUUGUUUAUAAAAAAAGUAAAUUGAGUUAAUUAAUUUUGAGUCAAGCCAAAAAUAGUAUAAAAAAUCAUUUACUUCGGUUUGAGUUGAGAACUAUUACAAUUGCUAUAAGAACUAGUCUGAAUUAGAUAAUUGAGCAUAAUUAGUAGGCUUAUGAGAAAAUGGCUAUCUGUGCGAGACGAGAUGAAACCGUUAAACAUUAACGAAUCACAAUAUUCAAAGACUCAGUCCUGAUUUAACAAUUAUACCCAUUCGAAUGCAUCACAAAAUUGAGUAAGAGAGAUGUAAUGUUCACAUCAAUUAUUUAAAAAAAAGUAACUUUUAGACUAAAUAAAAAAUGAAUUCAGAAAUUAUUUGAAUUCAUUAUAACAAUCCGCGGUUACACUUGUCUAUAUUAAAAUUUGCUCUCAUUUCACCAAGAUCAUAUUUUUUUUUAUUUAUAAUGUCAGUCUAGAUGGGUUUUAGGCCCAUAAUUUAAAACGGAGCGAUUAGUUUUAGAUUUUAUGAUAGAUUUGAAUUGGAUCUAACUUUUGUUGCCGACGUUCAAGAUCCGCGAUAACUUUUCAAAAAAGGAAUUUCGAAAUGCAACUUUCAAAAGUGUGACGAAGGCUACAUGCCUAUCAUAAAAUUCGAGAUGAAAAUUUCACAGUUUAAGAGGUUAAUUUUAAAUUUUAAUUAUUUUUUUAAAUAUUUUUAUAAUUUUAUAUAUUAGAAUUUUUUCUAUUAUAAAUAGGGUUUUUUAUUUGAAACUCAUUUUUCAAUCUUUCAAAAAUUUCAAUAUGAUUUUUUGAUUUCUAACCUCUCAUUUUUAUUAUAUCAUCUUAAUCGAGCAUUAUUAGUUAAAACUUCCGACGAAAUCUAAUAAAUUUAUUAUCAUAAUUACUCUUUCUAGUAGCUGCAUUUUAUGAGCUGCCAAACAAUCUGAAACCACUUGUUAGGAAUAGAGAAAGCUCAAAAUGUCAAGAAGUAUUGGAAGAGCCUUGCAAGUUGCAAGAAUUCUUGCAAGCAUGUUGAUUAACCCUUGUUUCAAGACAAGCUUUUCUUUCUUGUUGCGUUAUCAGAACGAAACUGCCAAGUCUUUGUGUCCGGAUAGAAAUGAAUCUAGAUUUCUAAAAAUGAAAACACCAGCUUUUGGCAUUUUACCUAAAAGCAUUAAUUUCUGUUCUGUGAGAUCGAAAAUCCAGCGCAUAGGUGCAUUUUUUUUUUUUAAAAAAAAAAAAAAAAGAUAAUUUGUAAUACUUUCAGAAAUUUAAUAAAAUUCACACUUCUUACUAUUUUAAUAGGAAAUAAUUUAGUACUUAAAAGUUCAAUUUUAUUAAUAAAAUAAUCAUUUCGAUAAAAUUUAUUAUUAAAUUAUUACAAUUUCUUCAUUUCAAUUUUAUUUUUUACAACAAUUUAAUCCUUUAAUUUUAGAAAUAAUUAUUAAAAACAUAUUAUAUUUUACUAUUCUUUUUAAUUAUACUCUAUAUUUUAAAAAUAACCAAUUUAAGCAUAUAUUUUUAAAACUUUCAUCAAUUAUACCCAAUUGCUAAUAAAACUGUUAAUUCACUAAUAAAAAUAUCAUAUCAUUACUAAAUCGUCACAAUAUAAUACGAAAUUAUUGCUAAAAAAGUUAUCUUUCUACAAUUAUUUGUAAUUUUACUAUAUAUUUUAAAAGUAACCGAUUUAACUCUAUAUUUUUAAAGUGAUUAAAAAAAUUGCUAUUCCACCAUUGGCAAUGCCACAUCUUUUUUGUCGAAGAUGGAGAUACCGUGUCGUUGCUACGUUAUCAUAUUAUCGCUACUAUUCUCAUAAUAUAAUAUGAGAUUAUUACACUUAUAUUGUAUUUACGUUUAUAAAAUAAAUAUUAAAAUUCAUAAAAGCUUAAUUAGUAAUUUUAUAAGGUAAAAAUAUUAAGUUUGCCUCUAAAUUAUAUAGCCAGAGAUAAAAAUAUCAAAUUUUAUAUUUCAGUUUAAAUUUGUCCAUAAAUUAUUAUUAAAUUAUUAAAUAAGUCCAAAUAAAAUUAAAUAGUUUGAGAAAAAUAUAGUUCAUACUCUGAAAUCCUGAUAAUAAUAAUCUCAUGUAACCUCUGAAAUCCUGAUAAUAAUAAUCUUAUGUAACCUUUUAAAUAUAGUUUAUGGAUAAAUUUAUAAUAAAAAAUGAAAAUUUAAUAUUUCUUAUCUGCUUUAUAGUUUAGGGAUAAAUUUUACUUUUCAAUCCAUUUUAUAGUAUGAUUGCAUCGUGUUUCCAUUAAUAACUUAACAAUGAAUUAAGGAUUUUUUAACGGUUGGGUAGAAUUGGUGAAAUUUUAAAAGUAAUUAUUUCUAAAAUAUAAAGUAAAAUUGCAAAUAAUUAUAAAGUGCAAAAUUUUUUUAUAAUUAUUUUGUAUUGUAAUGAUUCGGCGAUAAUGUAAUAUUUUUGUUAGUUGAUUUAUGAUUUUUUAACAGUUGAAUAUAAUUAAUAAAAGUUUAAAUUAACUAUUGUUAAAGUAUAUAAUUGCAAAAAAUUAUAAGGUAUAGAUUUUUUUGUAAUUAUCUCUUAAUUUUAAUAAUUUAUAAUAAUUUAAUUCUUAUAGUUUGAAUAUUUAUAAUAAUUUAGUUUCUUUAAUUUGAGUUGAAUUUUUUAAUUAGCAGUUAAUUAAUGAUAAAUUUAAUAAAAAAUUAUUUUAUUAAUAAAAUAAAAAUGCAAGAUUUAAUUUGUUAACUAUUAAAAAAAAUAAACACUAAUACUUGAAUUUUAAAAUAUAUCUAAUAUCAUAUGCCGACAUGUUACUGUCCAGACUGACAAUUGUUCCAGUAACUUUGACCUAUGUAAAAUUUUGUACAGAGGCUAAUCAAUUCUAACUUGACAUUAGCCUUUUCUAACUUGAUGUGUAACUCCAAGUAUCACUAUAAAAAAUUACAUAAAUAUUGAAAUCAUUACAAAAUAUUUUAUUUUUAUCAUCAAAAGUUUAUUAUGACAAAAUAUUAUUGUAACAGCAACUGUUAUUGUAACCACAUAAUAAAAUGUAUACUAUAAUAAAUAUUAUUAUCCUUAUGAAAAAGAAUUUUUUUUUAUAAUAAAAUUAUUAAUUACCAUAAAAUUGUAUAUCUUUAAUAACAUAUAAUUCAUUAUAAUUUAUAUCUACUUUUUAUCAUUAUUGUUUUUACUGGGCAUUAAAAAUGUAAUAUUGUAUUUAUAAAUUAUUUAUUUGAUUUUUUUUUGAAAUGGAUUAUUUGGUCAUUAAAUAAUUAACUCUUUUAUUUAAAAUAUUUUCUAUUUGUAAAAAUUAUUUUCGACGCAGGUUUCUCUAUGUGGUCCUUUUGUGACUCGAUAUUCUUGCCUUUUCCUUUUCUUUAAAUCUAAUUUUUUCUUUCCCCUUCCCCAUAAAAGACGAUCUGCGUCAAUUGACUAUCGAUGAAAAAGAAAAUGUUGUUGUCCCUAUUAAGAGUUUCAGAGAUAUUUCGAUCGUCACUUAUAAUUUCUAUAUGGUGAAGAUAUUUCUCACAUACAAUCCAAUUAAUUUUCAAAAUAUGUAGACCUCAUUUAUGAGGUCCUUUAGAGGGGUAUUUAUUAUGAAAUUAGAGGCAAAAAGAUAUCUGUUUCGAUUUUUUAAUAAUGUUGAUUUUGAAAAUAUAGGAAAUGGAGGCUCUUGGUUGUAUAAUCAAUUCCUGCUUGUUUGAAAUGAGAUACGAAGAAAUGAAAAUCUUCUCCAUAUUCCAUUAAUUCAUUCUGAUUUUUGGGUUCUGAUUAAAGACCUCCCAUCUGGUUAUUAUAACGAGACGUUAGCUAAAUUGGUCGGAGAUUUUGUUGAUCACUAUAAAGAGUAUGAUAUGAAAAAUGCUUCAGCUAUGUCGCCGGGCCCUAUGAGAGUUAAAGUUUGCUUGGACAUUCGGCAAUUUUUAAAACGGCAGAAAAAGUUUAUUGGAGAUGAUAGUAUUGUAUUUACCGUAAAGUUUUAAUACGAAAAACUGACUAUUUUUUGCUAUCUAUAUGGGAAAAUGGGUCAUGUGGAGACUUUCUGUGAUUUGCAGCUGAGGUUGAAGAAAAAAGAUAUCAAGUUUGAUUGGGGUGAUUUCCUCAGAGCACCUAUUUGUCGAAACCAGAGACCGACAAGCCUAUAGUUGCGUGAUUCAGGCAAUUUUGCUCCUCCAAAAUUUAUGGCAAGAUUGACAUUAACUAGCAAUUUUGAAAACACUAAUUUGACAGUACAUAAUAAGUAAUUCUUUUUAUUUGGCAAAAGUCAUAAUAUUAUUCUAGUUAGUCAUACUUUGGUUAGAGAAUCUAUUAGAUCUGUUUGGGAUGAUAUCUCUAUUUAUUUGAUAAAAUUUUAUUAAUAAUUUUACUUUAAAAAAAAUAAAAAACUAACUCUUUUAUAGAAAAAAAUUAAUUAUUAUAAAAUAUUAUUUUAAUAACGUAUAUUUUAUCAUAAUUUAAUAUAAAUUUUAUCAUUUAAUUAUUCAUUUCUACCAUCAAAAUUUAUAUUAUCAAUUAUGAAUUAUAAAUUUCGUUACCAAAUAAUUGACUAUCUAUUAUAAAAAAAAAUUAAUUAUCAUAUAAUAUUAUCUUUUUAGCGAUAUAUAUAUUGCCAUACUUUAAAUCUAACUUUUAUCUUUAAUUAUUCUUUUACUCAUUAAAAAUUUAUAUUUUUAAUUACAAAUUAUUUAUUUUAUCAUAAAAUAUUAUAUAUUUAAUGGCGAUAAUAAAUAUCAUUAUUUUUAAAUUAUAAUCAUGCUAAUAAAUGAAACCUUUUAAAUUAUUUGUCAUAAUAUCUAUAUAUUUUAAAUAAUGUUAUUUUAUUAUUAAAACAUUCAUUUGGUGGUAUUUUUAUUUUUUAUAUAAAAAUAUUAAAAAUAAUACAAUUUAAAUUUAAAUUACUUGUCAUCAUUAAUAAUAUAAUUAACUUGUUAAAUAAUAUUUAAUUUUGAUGUAAAAAUAAAAAAUAAAAAAUAAAAAUAAAAUUAUAUCAAAAUAUAAUAGGAAGAAAUAAUACUAAAAAUUAUUAAAGAAAAAUUAUAAUAACAUCCACGCAAUAUUCAAUUUAACAAUCUAGUAAAAUAAAUCUAGUAAAAUAUCUAAAAUGCCAAAUAUGUAUACAUUAAUUGUUUAAUAUUUUAAAUUAUCAAAUCUUUAAAAAAAAAAAUAACAUUUCAAUCUUAAAAUUUGAAGUAUUAAGUUUUCAUGUAAAAAUUAAAACAAAUAGAAAAUUCUUAAUUAUAGCAAUAAUAUAUACAUAUUAUCUAGAGGGAACUCAAAGUAUAUGAAAUAGGAUAAAUUGAUAUAAAAAAAACCUCAACAAAACUACCAAUAUAGGCAGCCAAUAGAAGUAUUAAAAAACCCACUGUUCAUGCUCAAUCUAAAAACUAUAUAAACAAAUAGUACAAGAAAACCCAAUUAUUCUCAACAACCAAGCAAACAACUGUUCACAACUUACAACAUCGCCAGUACACUCAUGAACAACCAUAAGCCAACCAUUGUUAUUAAAAAGCUCACACAACAAAACCAACAAUACGACAUCUAGCCCUAAUCAUUAUUCAGGAAAACACCAAACCACAUUAUUCCUAUCACCAAUAGACCAGCAGAACAAACCAAAAACUCCCUUGUAAGUAAUAAUAUACCUAGAAGCUUCAAACAAACAACCGUACUGGGAGACAACCUACAUCAUCCAAAGAUAUACCCAUUUGACCAAGGCAAUGUCUACUCAACUAAUCCAACUCUAUCACCAUAUUCAUAUACAAUUAACAAGUGUCUCUUUUGUUACCUAUAAAUCUACCGAAAAUUUGGUAGAAUCUUUCCUAAAAUUUGGACAUUUUUUAUUUUUCAACACAACUCAAUCUAAAAAAAAUAUGCAAUCAUGGCCUGCACAAAUUUUAUAAUUUCCUCUUUUACACUCCCAUCAAACUCAUGUGAAUUUUUCUUUUCCCGGAUACUAACAAAACUCAUACGAGACUUCCACAGCUAAAAUAAUUUGACAAAAUAAUCUACUAAUUUAUUCAUUAUCGUUACACUUUGCAUAGAAAAACUAUAACAAUAGGUAAUCUAAGAAGGCAUUCUCUCUAAAUUACUUAUUAUUGAAUACUCUAAUCUGAUUCAAAUAAAAUAAACAAUUCAAAAAAUCCUUUAAUGAACUAAUUUUAAUUCUUCUGAAAUUUAAAUUGGCAUCUUUUAAUGACUGUCAUGAAUAGUCAAAGCAAUAAGCAAACAUCUAAAAAUAAACUGGAAUAUAAUAAAAGGAAUAGCACAUUUUGAACACAAUGGUGAAUAUCUAGCAAAGCAAGAAACGUGAGACCUGUUCAUGAAAUUUUAUUCUUGUAGAAAGCAAAUCAACCGUAUAUUUACCGAUCUCAGAACAAAUCAGAAAUAAAUAAAUAAGCAAAUAAAAAAAAAAGACAAGAAACCUUCAUUUUACAGCAAUCAAUCUAAAAAUGGAGAAGAACAAUGGUUUAAUCAUUUGAAGCCGCUCACAACACAACUAUAUAGAAUGCAAUUGCGCACCGAACACUUGUAAUUAAGCAGUUACCAACAAUAUAUGUUCAAAACAGCAUCACAAAAUAGAAAAUUAAUAGGAUCAACUCAUAUUUGCAUAAACACAGUCCUAAGGGACAAAAAUGCAAGGAUUUGAAGUAUACGCACAGUCAAAUCUGUGGCUUUAACAAAUUCCGAAGCUGAGUAGGACAAGCAGCUGGUUUGGAGUAGGGACGAUUCAAACUCGCUAGAAGAAACAAAGUCUGCGACACCGUUGAGCAAGAGAAAUUUGGUCACUGAUAUUGAUUAAGAGCUUUGGGGACGCGAUUAUAGGAUAAUAAAGGUGUUGUGUGAUUUCUGUUACGGAGGUAAAGACAAUAGGUGUGCGAUUGAGCUCUAUGGGUAUGACGUGCUUCUGGUCUAUGCAGCGAUGGGCCUGUGUUGCAAGGUGAUGGCAAGGGGAAGGUCGACUCGCUGGUGCAUCACCGUCUAUUUCGCUGGUGGACGAACGAUGAUGUUGAUGGGAAUAGUCGGUGGUGAUGAAAGGGCUGGGGCUGUAUAGGUUAAGAUAAAUAGUGAUUUGGGUUCUGUCAAUGUGUGAUUUUAUGGAAAGGAAGCAUGGGAAUGAUAAGCAGGAUCUAGUCGUAAGCUGCUUCGGGCGUGAACUUGGGUCGUCGAAGGCACAAUGAAGAGGGAAAUGGGUAGGGGAGGAGCCAUUGGAGUGAGGUCGGAUGAUGUGGUGGUGAGGCUAGCGAUAUGAAGCUGGGUCUGUUGUGGGUACAGGAAUGUUGGUGAAGGAGAAGGUGGGUGUUGAACUUGGUUGUCGUGGGGUUGUUGGUGAAAGCAGGUGGGUCUCCUAGAAGGAGGAAGAUGAGUACGAGUGUUUGGGGGAUAUAAGGUGCGUCGUUUUGGAAAUCAAGGGGUAAGGUUUUGAGAUUAAAAUAAAUUUUUUUUUUCUUUCACUUUUUUUCUUUUUUUUUUAAAUUUAAAUUAAAACUAAAAUGUUAAUUCAUCUAAAAUAAAAAAAAUCAAUAAAAUAUUAGAAUUAAUGGCGAAUGAUUUGAAAUUUAAUAAAAUUAAUAUUUUGUAAGAAAAAUAUAACUAACUAAAAAUUGAUUAGAAUCUAAAUUUAAAAUCAUUUUUUUUAUUUUUACUUUUUAAUUCUUUUAUCAUAUUACCCAAAUAAAAUAUGGUGUUGACAAUAGAUAUAAUUGGAGAAUGAAAUUAAAAAAGAGAAAUGGAGUGGGGAGAGCAGAUGAGGGAAGGAAAUAGUGACAAUAUGAGAUGAGCACCGAGUCACAAUACUAUUAAAAAAAAUUCAACCACAAAUUUUACAAAUAGUUUACCUAAAAAAAAAUUUCAUUUAAUUUCAAUUUAGCUCCAAAAUAAAAAAAAAAUAAACCUAUUAAUUAAAUUUUG
This 14598-nucleotide long non-coding RNA is filed under the name Manihot esculenta (cassava). RNAcentral's name for it is "long non-coding RNA (MESC_LNC007902)". Lineage: Eukaryota; Viridiplantae; Streptophyta; Magnoliopsida; Malpighiales; Euphorbiaceae. The record is from RNAcentral.